AUCCUUUUGUAGUUCAUAGACAUGAGGAUUAGAUUUUCUUGCUCCUGUGUGAGAUAUCAUCUCCCUCAAAACUUGUUACAACAUUGGUACGUUACCCGUCUGAUG
Lemur catta (Ring-tailed lemur) is the source of this 105-nucleotide small nucleolar RNA. RefSeq annotates it as small nucleolar RNA U13. The record is from RefSeq and is a predicted model, not a curated record. The transcript has a single exon. NCBI's taxonomy places the organism in Eukaryota, Metazoa, Chordata, Mammalia, Primates, Lemuridae.